Molecule: ribosomal RNA, 83 nt
Filed under: Streptomyces albus subsp. albus
Lineage: Bacteria; Bacillati; Actinomycetota; Actinomycetes; Kitasatosporales; Streptomycetaceae
Description: partial 23S ribosomal RNA
Rfam family: Bacterial large subunit ribosomal RNA
Source: RNAcentral
ACUGGGUUGAUAGGCCAGAUAUGGAAGCACCGUAAGGUGUGGAGUUGACUGGUACUAAUAGGCCGAGGGCUUGUCCUCAGUUG